UUUUUGAUAGCUUAUACGGUUAAAGCAGUAAACUUUUAAUUUACGAGAAGGUAAAUCCUCUUUAUUUUUCGAA
Molecule: transfer RNA, 73 nt
Filed under: Physidae sp. P3S_19
Lineage: Eukaryota; Metazoa; Mollusca; Gastropoda; Physidae
Description: tRNA-Lys
Source: RNAcentral